Molecule: unclassified non-coding RNA, 358 nt
Filed under: Hevea brasiliensis (rubber tree)
Lineage: Eukaryota; Viridiplantae; Streptophyta; Magnoliopsida; Malpighiales; Euphorbiaceae
Source: RNAcentral
GCUGCGGUUAUGAGUACGACCUGGCGUGAGAAUUAUUUCCUCCCGUGGAUUUUCAAGGGACGUCGAGAGCGCACCGGACCCAACAGAGGUGCUGGGCUCUUCCGGCCAUUAAACCCUAGCUCCGGACAAACCGAUUUCAGGGUGAUAGACCGUUAAGAAGAAAAGAGAACUCUGCCCGGGGCCCCCGCCGUCGUCUCCACGUUCAGUUGCGUUGCCGCGCAAAACCCACAUCCAGGUGCCGGAAUAUUGACCGGCUCCCCUUUCGCCAGACGGUGCAAAGUGCACCUUUGAAACGGAACUUCCCUAUGGCUUAGGAUCGACUAACCCAUGUCCAACCGCUGUUCACAUGGAACCUUUC